UACGAAGGGGGCUAGCGUUGUUCGGAAUUACUGGGCGUAAAGGGCGCGUAGGCGGACAGAUAAGUCGGAGGUGAAAGCCCAGGGCUCAACCUUGGAAUUGCCUUCGAUACUGGAAGUCUUGAGUUCGGGAGAGGUGAGUGGAAUUCCUAGUGUAGAGGUGAAAUUCGUAGAUAUUCGGCGGAACACCAGUGGCGAAGGCGACUCACUGGCCCGAUACUGACGCUGAGGCGCGAAAGCGUGGGGAGCAAACAGG
This 253-nucleotide ribosomal RNA is filed under the name uncultured bacterium. Its description in RNAcentral is "partial 16S ribosomal RNA". It matches the Rfam family "Bacterial small subunit ribosomal RNA", at positions 524 to 776 of the family's 1533-position model. The record is from RNAcentral.